RNAcentral lists this ribosomal RNA (494 nucleotides) under uncultured bacterium. RNAcentral's name for it is "partial 16S ribosomal RNA". It matches the Rfam family "Bacterial small subunit ribosomal RNA", at positions 28 to 507 of the family's 1533-position model. The record is from RNAcentral.
GACGAACGCUGGCGGCGUGCUUAACACAUGCAAGUCGAACGGUGAAGCGCCUUCCUUUUUGGUGGGUGUGGAUGAGUGGCGAACGGGUGAGUAACACGUGAGUAACCUGCCCCCUUCUUCUGGAUAACCGCAUGAAAGUGUGGCUAAUACGGGAUAUUCUGGGUCUGUCGCAUGAUGGGUCUGGGAAAGAUAUUGUUUCGGUGGGGGAUGGGCUCGCGGCCUAUCAGCUUGUUGGUGGGGUGAUGGCCUACCAAGGCGGUGACGGGUAGCCGGCCUGGGAGGGUGGACGGUCACACUGGGACUGAGACACGGCCCAGACUCCUACGGGAGGCAGCAGUGGGGAAUAUUGCACAAUGGGCGCAAGCCUGAUGCAGCGACGCCGCGGGAGGGAUGGAGGCCUGCGGGUUGUGAACCUCUUUCGCCAGUGAAGCAGGCCUGCCUCGUUUGUGGGUGGGUUGACGGUAGCUGGAUAAGAAGCGCCGGCUAACUACGUG